Molecule: long non-coding RNA, 1335 nt
Organism: Anguilla rostrata (American eel)
Lineage: Eukaryota; Metazoa; Chordata; Actinopteri; Anguilliformes; Anguillidae
Exons: 2
Source: RefSeq, a predicted model, not a curated record
GGCAUUUCCCAUCGUUGGGCAGCACGAUCCCGCCCAGUUUCCCAUCUCCUGCGAAGUGGGAGCCGGCGUCGGUGGAGAAUACGAGUAGGCGGGUCACAUUCCUCCAGCCAAUUGCUUCCUAGGGGACGUGGUAAACACUGUGAAGCCAACCCUUUGUCUAUGUGUCUCCGGGGACAACGCUCACUGGAAACAAAGGCCAAACUCAGCUGAGGAUCAAAGCCCCCGACCACCCAUCCCUCCCCCUCACCUCGCACGCAGCAACCUGCAUCAGGGCAUCCAGCCCCCCUUCAGGCGAGUCCAGGUUUCCUGAGAUGUUCUGGCGGCCCACAAGCUCACCGAACAGGCUUCCGUUUUGGGUAAGGCUGAGGACGUGGCGGAAGCUGAAGGCCGGGGCGCAGGACUGGGGCUCCUGUCUCUUACAGGGGUUCUGCAGCAUGGACUCCGUGGUGCUGAUGUACGGCAUCACCGUCUUGUCCACAAACGCGCCGAACCCUUCACGUGCAGACGACAGUUUUUGUUUUUAGAAGUUUGUCGAAAAUUCUCAGACCUACAUCCUUUUUACUUUUACUACAAGUAAACAAAUCUUAAUUUACAGAGAGCACAUGAGAGUACUGACAUUUACUUUUUAAAACACUGAGCAAAUGCUGUGAUCCUGAGCAACUCAUACGGCUUACAUUAUUUGCGUACAGUCCAUUUUUACUGCUGGAUAUUUCCUGAAGCAAUUCAGGUCAAGUGCCUUGCUCAAGACUACAACUGCAGUGCUCCACCUGUAAAUUGAUCUUACAACCUCAGAUUUACAAGCCCUGUUUCCCUAACCAUUAUUCUUCAUCCUAUGAUGAAGUUGUGUAUCCCAGCCUCUCCACAAUACUAACCUGAUGAAGGCCUGUUCAUCAUAUUUUAAAACAAAUUCAAAUCCAAAUCCAUUCUCCAGUUUAUUUCUUCAGUGCAGAUGUAGUAUAGUGGAGCUUACACUUUAAGACUGCACUUUAGUACAAAGCUGUUCCUGGAGAACUGCUAUCCUGUAGGUUUUCAUUUCAACCCUAAUUUGGCACACUUGAUGCUAUUAGCAGCUCAAUAUGAUCUCUAGCUGUUGAAUGAGGUGUGCUUGUUAGGGUAUGAGUGAAAACCCACAGGAUGGUAGAUCUCCAGGAACAGGGUUGGGCAGCCCUGCUUUAAUCCCUGCUAUGUGUUGCUUUACAGUGGAGUGAGAGAGUACAAUGUUAAUGUAUGAUGAUGUGUUUAACUAUAAGACCAGCAAUGAAUGAAGCCAGAGCAGGCAAAUCAAAUAUGUAAGAGCAGUAGCAGUAUUGAGAGAACAAACGGACUGUUCACAUU